RNAcentral lists this non-coding RNA (148 nucleotides) under Nomascus leucogenys (northern white-cheeked gibbon). Lineage: Eukaryota; Metazoa; Chordata; Mammalia; Primates; Hylobatidae. The record is from Rfam by way of RNAcentral.
GCCAGGCGCAGUGGCAGGCGCCUGUAAUCCCAGCUACUCGGGAGGCUGAGGCAGGAGAAUUGCUUGAACCCAGGAAGUGGAGGUUGCAGUGAGCCGAGAUCAUGCCACUGCACUCCAGCCUGGGUGACAGAGCGAGACUCUGUCUCAA